AUUGAACGCUGGCGGCAGGCCUAACACAUGCAAGUCGAGCGGAUGAAGGGAGCUUGCUCCUGGAUUCAGCGGCGGACGGGUGAGUAAUGCCUAGGAAUCUGCCUGGUAGUGGGGGAUAACGUCCGGAAACGGGCGCUAAUACCGCAUACGUCCUGAGGGAGAAAGUGGGGGAUCUUCGGACCUCACGCUAUCAGAUGAGCCUAGGUCGGAUUAGCUAGUUGGUGGGGUAAAGGCCUACCAAGGCGACGAUCCGUAACUGGUCUGAGAGGAUGAUCAGUCACACUGGAACUGAGACAAGGUCCAGCCUCCUACGGGAGGAAGCAGUGGGGAAUAUUGGAGAAUGGGCGAAAGCCUGAUCCAGCCAUGCCGCGUGUGUGAAGAAGGUCUUCGGAUUGUAAAGCACUUUAAGUUGGGAGGAAGGGCAGUAAGUUAAUACCUUGCUGUUUUGACGUUACCAACAGAAUAAGCACCGGCUAACUUCGUG
Molecule: ribosomal RNA, 484 nt
Filed under: uncultured bacterium
Lineage: Bacteria
Description: partial 16S ribosomal RNA
Rfam family: Bacterial small subunit ribosomal RNA
Source: RNAcentral